AAAAAUAAUAAUAAAGUAAUGUGCACCUCAGCCACCCAUCGCUUCCGGCCCUGAGGCUUGUUAAAACUAAGGCAUGGGUGCGGCUGCCCGCCGACGGACGUUAUUACACGCCCGAAAAACACCAAACUGUGUUGCAAUCGAAGAUUGCAGACCCGUGAAGAAAAACAUCCGGAUCAAUUGAAGAAUCGCCCCACCAACUCUGCUCAACUGAAGAAUCGCCCCCCAAACUAAAAAUAUCGGAAAUUAUAUAUUAUAUUUGGUUUAUGCCAUUUAUUAUGCAUAAUCUUAUACACAGCAUAUGUGGAGCACUUAAUUUUUUGCAUUUUUCACAUAGGGUAUUGAGUGGAAAUAUGAAUACACAGAUUUUCAAAGGCAUUGGGAAAAAAAUCGGUCGCGCCACAUAAAUUCCUGCAGAUAUGAGUGAAGGAAGUCUCGCCUGCAGCCCCUCAUCGUCUUGAGGUGGGACUUGUGUUUGUUCCAAUAUGACUCAAUUGUUUGAGUGUGAACCCCAGUUUGAGGAUCAACAAAGUUCAGAGAAUGGUUGACCGUCCUGUGCAUGUGAUGUUGUGGUAUGCCCUUCAUUCAUCAGAAUGAAUGACGGACCCUGGUUACACCACUGUGUUGAUGAUAGGGAGAAGGGUAGCAGCAUUGCUGGCGUCCACGAUUUCCAAGUAGCCGACCGCUGGUGAUGUGCUGGUGUCGACCAUGCCAAACACCCACAUAGAGGUGUGUGGUCCUCGACCCCGAUGGUGCUUGGGCUUAUGAGAAAAGCAGGAUUCAUCCACUUCUACCACUGUCCCAGGACCGCCAAGCUUGAUGGGGUUGGCCUGAAGGUAUCUGCUGCACACUUCUCGAAAAAAACUGUAGCAGUCGACCAUAGUUUUCUUUGAAACACCUGUUUGACGGGAUGCUUGUUUUUCGCCAAUGCCUUAACUCCAUAUGUACAAUGCAUGGAUCCAGGUCUGAAGUGAUAAAUUGGAGUUGGCAAAAAAUUAUUCAGUCCUUAUCGCUGUUGUAUAUUUGAACUUAACUCAGCCUUUCGUUUGACAUCUCCACGCAUAACCAUCCUUACGCUUGGCAUGUUUAGUCCAGUUCAUCGCAUUGUCACAAUUGCCACACUUCACUUCAUUACUUAAAAGUCGAUGUUGUUUAAGCCAAUUGAUCACAGGCAAAGGAGCCUCAGUCAGCAGAGGGAGCACGACAGACUUGAAUGUGUCACGGGCCAUGGCGAACUACAGACUGAAUACAUGAACCCAAUGGUGCUAAAACUGUGUCAGGUUAGUCAAAGAUGUUAAGGUGAGGUCAGGUCAACUGCUGAGGUUUUUGGCCGCCCGCUAUAGUCCUGUCAUCAAUUGAAGAAUUGCCCCCCAACUCUGCCCAACUGAAAAAUUGCCCCACCAGAGAGGUCUGGGGGGCAAUUGUUCAAUUGAUCCAAACAUCCCAGUUAUCAUCACGCGAGAGAAACAGAACACACCAAUGCUGGAGAAGAAGUACAAGCAUUUCGAGGUAUAUGUUUGUUUGUUUAUGUGUGUGUGUGUAUAAGUAAUAAUAAAAAUAAUAAUAAUC
Molecule: long non-coding RNA, 1566 nt
Organism: Eriocheir sinensis (Chinese mitten crab)
Lineage: Eukaryota; Metazoa; Arthropoda; Malacostraca; Decapoda; Varunidae
Exons: 2
Source: RefSeq, a predicted model, not a curated record